AAAUAUUAAUUGAUUAUUAUUAAUUGAUCACUAUAACGAUAAAUGUGAUAAAUGUUCAUUAAAAAGUGGAAGUUAAUUAUAUAAAAUAUAAAAUUAUUUAUUAUAAUGUUAGAAUGAAAUAUCAUAAUGACAUUAUGAUACAAAUUGCUGAAUAUAAGAAAAGAAAAAAAUAUGGAACUAUUAUCUUCAUGAUGUUUUUGUAUUGUGAGCUAUGCAUUAAGGAGAACAACACAGGUGCAUUAUGCGAAGAAUAUUUAACAAAAGAAUACUUAAGGAAAGAGAAAAUAUUAACAUUCUAGGUCACCGAUUGUAUAACACAUUCAUGAUUAGAACGCAUUCCCGUGAUGUGUAAUUUACCAAGUUUGUGGAUUAUCAAAAUUAUUUGAUAAGCAGGAAAUUGUUUCCGACUACUAAUACGGAUUAACCUAAUGCACCUAAAAAUAUAUAUUGUAAUACAUAUCAAUUCGAACACCAUAUUGUGCGAGAAAAUAUUAGUUUAUAUAUUUAUUUAUAAUAAACUUUUUUAAAUUGAUUUUUAAUAUAUUAAUAUAAUCAUUAUUAAUUACUAUAAACGUAAAUUUUAUUUAUUUAAUGUAUAAUUUUCUAUAAAUUAAAUAAAAUUGAAUAACAAAAAACAUUGUAAAAAUAUUCAGAAUUAUAUAAAUUUUAUAUUUAUGUUUAUAAAAAUUAUAUUUUAGCAAUAAAAUGAACUGAAUGAUUUAUUAUAGUGAAUGAAUAAUCAUAUUUGAAUAUUACAUUUUGUCCUUUUUUAAAUUUAUAAUUAUAAUAAUAUAAUUAUAAUUUAAUUUAUAAUAAAUUAUAAAAUCAAUAAUUUCUAGGACAUUUAUGAUGCUUGUAAUGCAAGUCAUUGUAUACAUAUGUAUAGAUUUACAGAGUUAAAGCAUAUAUACUAUGAUACUAUUGUUAUAAUUCAAGGAAAAAAAAAUAAUGAAAUUAUAAAAUUGAUAUGUUAAAUUUGAAGAUUUGAUGAAUGAAUUAUAUUACAUUAUAUAAAAUAAUUAUAUUAUUGUAAAAUGAUAUAAACUAUAUAUUUUUGAAUUAGUUUCUAUUAAAAAAUACAAAAUAGUGUAUAUAAUCUUCAUAAAUUAAAGUUACUUGAUAUUUUAAUAUUGUAAUUUAAAACUUUGUUAUUUAUUUUUCAGUAAUUUAUACUAAUAAAUGAAUUUAAUAAUCUAUUUAAAAAGAUUUACAAAUUUUGAAUCUAUGAAUUAUAAAAAUAAAUUUUUUAACUACGUUAUGUUGAUCAAUGCAACUAGAAUGAUCUAACUGAACUUAAUCGAGACAUACAAACCCGAAAUGUGUGCCGAAUAAAUCCGAACUUAAGCCGAACUAAUGUGCAUCCAAUAAGAGGCAAAUUAUAUAAAUUUCAAACGCGAUAACCACAUAUGCCAGUAUUAUCUUAUUGAAUGAAAAAAUAUAAAUUUGUACAACGAGCAAUGAUAAAGCUAAAUACGAGAGUAUAUAUAUAAAGUGAGAGAGAUAAGAUACGAUUGUUCAAUACGAUACCGAAGAUAAGAAAUGAUUGUAUGAUAUAUCACAUUAUUAUACUAUAGUGAUUAUACUUACCAAAGGAGAGAAAGUGUUAUAAAAUUUUUAUCCAUAGCAUGAUUUGUUGCGAAACGUUUAAUCGAGGAAAAUCACCAUAGAUUUGUUUAAGAGAAAUCUUGAAAUUCGAAAAAUAGAGAAUCAAAAUCUAUGAAAUUUCAAUAAUAUAUAAUUUUCUUACAUAACUUAGAAAAUCUUGAAUCUUCUUAGAAAAAUUUUUUAUUUAUUAAAUUUAAAGAUCGAUAAUGAUUAAAUAAAAAAAAAAAUAAGAAAUUAUAGAGAUAAAUCUAGAUUUAUUAAUGUCACUUUCAAAUCGGUCACUUUAUUUCCAAGUUUAACAAAUUUCGAUUAAUGAUAAAAAAAAAAGAUGGACAUUUUUGAUCAUUGUACUCCAUAUAAUGAUUUUGAUUAACUAGAAAUAUAUAAUAUAAAAUAUAAUCAAAAGCGCCUAUUUCUCAAUUGAUAUAUGUCACACAGUUUUAUUAAAUCAAUUUUAUGGAAUAGGCAUUAAUUUUAUUGAAAUUGAAUUUUAAUUGCCUCAACAAAGAUAUAUAUUCAAUAAAUUUCUAUUAAAACAGAUUUUAAUGAUUAUCAUUUUUAUAGUCAUUAUAUUAAAACGAUCUAACAUUAUGAUUGAUAUUGAUAUCAAUAGUGGUAGCUGAAUUUGAUGUGGAUUGAUCUUUUUAAUAGGACUUAACGAAAUCAUCAUAGAUAAACACGUCAUGCUGGAUACAUUCAUAUUAAUAUCAAUUUCUUCGAUAUUAUGAUCGGCAGUAAAGAUAGUCAAAAUUCUAUUAUUGAUUCUUAUUCUUCCAUCGUUGACUUCUUAUUGAAUAUCAACUUGAUUAGAUAAAUAACUGGAAUAAUAAUUUCUUCUCUAUAGAGUGUCUUUAUAAAUCGUCGACUUUCAGUUUGAUAAGAUGAUAUAAAUGGAAAGAAUAUAUAAAUGUAAAGGUUACAUAAUAACAUUAUUAAAAAAUGUAAAUAGAAUAAUUUACAUAUUAUUUUGUCAAGACACAAAUAACAUAUUAGAAUAAUAAAUGUCUCAUAGCAAGUUAUUUCAUAAAUCAGAGAUACAAUAAAAUUUCCUAAUAUUAAAGAAAAAAUAGAUGAUCAACAAUAAAAUAUUAUAAAAUAGGAUCUAAAUAGAAGAAAAAAUAAUAAUAAAAUAAAUAUUGAAUGAAUUCUUAAAAUUCCAAGCUAUAUUAAAUCAUUAAUUAAAAAAUAAAAUUUAAUAAUAUAAAUUGAUUCAAAAAAUAUAAAUAAUACAGAAUACAUAUAAGUAGAAUACAUAUUGAAAAGAUCUGACAAUACAAAACAAACUAAAUCUAACUUUUUCUUUUUUCUGCAUCUCUUGAAUGCUUUUACAAUUGUGCUCUCUAUUUCUCUUCAUUGUUCAACAUAUUCUUUACAUCAUAGAAUAGUUUCGACUGAAAAAUAAUUAUUAUUAAAUUAUUAUUAUUAUUAUUAUUUGUGCAUGAAAAGAUAUAAAAGUAAAUAAAAAAAAUUAUAAAAAAUAUCCAAUUUUCAGCAAUUAAAAAAUUAUCAAAUACAAGCCAUCGUCGAAACUUUUUAUUAAAAAAUAAGAAAAUAGAAUUUUUCAUAUAUAAAAGUAAUUAGAUAAUUUUUUAACAAAAUUAUAUUUCUUAUUUUUCAAUUCGUUUCGAAUUUGGUAAUGGCUUCUCUUUCCAUAAUCAUUUGAUCAUAUCCAUCAUAAGAUUCUUGGUAACUAAUAAAUAACCAAUGCUGAAUAACAAUGUUGUGAUGCUCGAUGAUCAGUAAUAUCGUUUGCUUAAAACAGAAUCAUUUUUUUCUUUCUUUUCUUCAUCACAUCAACGAUUGUGAUUUAACCGUUUCGAAAUCUACGAUUCAUUUGAUUUUUAAGAAUCUUUCUGGAAUUAUGCAUAUACUUUCACAACGAGAAAUUUUCAAGGAGAAUAAGUUUUCUUAUUUACGUAUAUUCAAUAAGAAAUCACAAACAAACUGGUUAUAUCUACAUUGUAGAAUAAUUUUGUAUUAUUUUAAAUCUGAAGUAAAUGAACUUUAAGAUUCGAAUAAAUAGACUUAUGAUUAAAAUCUUAUUAUGAUAUAAAGUAUUUGAUUUUACAUAUUGCAUACGUUAUAUAUAUGUUUAAUGAGUCGAUUUAUUAAAAGAUAAAUAAAAUAAUUAAUCAUAAAUAAUGAUGAAAGUUUAAAAAAAAUAUUGUAAGAUCGAGAUUCGUAAUUUUAAGAGAUUAAAAUUUUUACAAUUGAAUAUAGAUUUCUUUCAUGUAUACGCAACGAAGUAAUUCUUUAGAAAUUGAAUAUUUUUACAAUAAUUUUUUUGUUAAAUUUUUUUUUUAUAUUAAAUUAUUUAAAUAUUCUUGAUCUAUCUAGAAUAAUUUAAGAAAAAUUUUUUUUUUAAUGAUCAUUGAGUUUUUAGAUUAAAAUCAAAUAGAGAUUAGAUUAAAGAAAUAGAAAUUUGAGAUCCUAAGAAAAGUAACUACAUAUUGUAUUUUCCUAGAUUAACCUCUUAAAUGAGCAAAUCAUGUAAGUAAAUAUUGGAUAUUUAAAUGAGUAAAGCGUACAAAUAAAUAUCAGGCACUCAAAUGAGUAAACCACAUAUAUAAACAAAUAUAAAUACAUCAAUUGGAUCAAAUGAAAUAAGUGUUUCAUUUAUUAUUUUAACUGAUUAUAGUAUUAAAGAAUUAAUUUAAAUCAUAAUUCAUCGGUAAUUUUAGCAAUCAAUUCGAUUUGUUUAUCUUCUCUGAUUGGAUUUGAUGGAUAGUGUACAUGUUGAUUGACAUUUUAAGGUAUCGUUUACAAAAACGAAGAUAGAAAUUGUAUUGAUCAAAAAUACUUUAUUGACUUACGUCAGUAAGUUUAGUUUUGUCAAUAGUUCAGUUUAAUUUCACUUACGUCAAUGUUAGUUUUUGCAAAUGUAAAUAUAGCGUGAUGCAUCUGAAUGCAAAUACAAUAUUGCAUUUAAAACAGAAUAUCUUCUCAUAACGUAAAUAUUUUGUUAUGCCCAAAUUAUUGAUAAUUCAAAUUAUGAAUUUAUAUUUUGUUUUUUACCAAAAUUAACAGAAUUAUUUUUGUAAUGUCUAAUUUGAUAUAUUGCAAUAAAUGAACAUUUUCAUUUGUUAUUCGUUGUCUUCGAAGUAUAAAACAGAUCCGUAAUGCGCUUCGUAGAUUAAUGAGAUAUUCGGUGUUACAUACGAUGUCUGCUCCUUUUCUUCAAGAUUCUAUUAAUAACACCGGUUUCAUGGAUUAAAUCAUGAUUUGAGAUAUAGGAGAAAAGUGAAUAUACAUAUUCAUUCGGAUGGAAUAUUUAUUAAUUCUAAUUGAAAGAUUCAAUCAGACCUAAUUUCUAUUCCUUGGAUAACUGAGUGAAAUAGAAUUUUAAUUUUACGUUAUUGAAUACGUCAAACAUUUUUUUAUAUUAUUGCCAUUGAAAACAUAUUUGAAAGAAUUAUUUUUUAAAGAUAGACUAUCUUUUAAAAUCUUAUUUUUUUAUAUGUCAAUUCUUCCUUUAUUAUUUUAUUUCUAUGGAUAAUUGACUUAAUAACAUGAUGCAUUUGUAAAAUAAUAUUUUCAUCUAUUAAUUUUUCUGUUAAUUAUUAUUCUAUUAUUCUAUCUUUUAUUAUUUAAUAAUUAUAUUUUACUUUUAUUUUUUUCUUUCAUUCUAAAUAAAAUAUAUAUCUCUAUAAAUAAUAAAAAUGUUAUGGAUAUUUAAGAUAUUGUCAAUUUUUUUCUUGGAAAGAAAAUUUUUGUAGAAUAUACACGAUCCAAUGCCGACCUUCGUCUUACAUCAGCGAUCUCUUUUUGUCCUCGAGACGUAUAUGGAAUCCACAUGGAGAUAUCGUGUUUUUGUACACUCCUUGGAAGAUGCUUUUUCUGUAAAGGGUAGGCAACCGGAUUCCAGAAAAUGCACAACUUUCGAUACUUAUUGUUACUUCUUUUAUUGAUUUUAUUUAAAAAUUAAACACCAUUUGUCUAUUUAUUUUUAAAUAAUUUUUUAUAGAUUGUAUUUAAUUAAAAUAUUAAAAAUUUAAUAUUAAUUACGAAUCAAUUUAAAAAAUAUACAUAUUAAAUAAAAUUCUCAAAAAAAUGUGUUUAGAUGAUUUGAUUGUCACACGUUUGUAAAAAAACAUGAUACAUUAGAUUUUACCAUCUAUUAUAUUCUCAUUAAAGAAAUGUACAUUCAUGCAAUAAAAUUAAAAAUUUCUUAUUCGAAAAUUUAAUUUCGCUUUAUUAAACAUCAACGCCAUACUCGUAUUUAUUGAAUUAAGUUUGCAUUGGGAUGAUAUCGUACCCUUCCUCAUCCUCGAUCUUCGCUUUUCUCGACCAAGCCUAACUGUUCUUAAUGUAAUAAAAGAAGAUUCAUGAACGAAUGAAUCAUGUUUGUUCGAAUGAAUGCAUGAAUAAUCUUAAGAGAAUCGUGCAAAUGUUGAUCGCAUUGCAAUGAGAAAUUAAACGAAUUCUUUCUUAGUGGAGCGAGUCUAUGUGAAAGGUAAAAAUAUAAAUUGAUUUGUUACUUAUGCAAUGCAAAUAUGUUAUUGUGUAACACGCUCGACAAUAGCCUUAUUGUAAAUAAUAAUCAUGGUGGUUUUGAUAAAUCAUAUUUACUCGAGCGAAACCUAUAUGCUUCUAUUUGUUUAAUCGAAUCAGUAUUUUCGUAAUCGAUUGUAGGUUAUGUUUGUUCAAACUGUUAUAUUAAUAGUAUACAAUUGUGUUCUCUCAUUAAUAAUCUUAAACAGCAUGAUUAUUUAUAGAAGUAUUUUUGGAAAUGAUCACAUUCCAAGUUGUUCUUGUUCAUAUACUUACAUAUAUUUAUAAAGAUCUAAAAAAGAUUAUGAAAGUAAAAGAACUUUAUAGAAAAAUAUCCGAUAUCAUAAAUUUUCUCAAUUUUUAAAACUAUAUAAAAAUAAUAAUAAUAAAAAGUUUACAAUUUAUUUUACAAUUUGCCCAAUAGUUUCUUUUAAUAAAAUAUAAUCAAAUAUAUUAACACAAUAAUCAUUCUGAUUUUUAUUUUAUUAUAAAUUAAAUAAUAAUAUAAUAAAAAUGUCUUAGAAGAAUUACAUAGUAUAUUUGAACAAAGAGAUAAGAUUCAAUUUUUUUUUAUAAUAAACUUUUAAGAAUAGAAAUAAAUUUAAAACUUAACAAAUUUUCAUCUCCUAUAAUAAGGCCUGUUUUUAGACGGCAGAACAGAUUCAUCCGUCACGGCUGAGACUUCCGUUCUUUGUUUGCAGUUUCUAUUUCAGCAUGUCCUCGACCAAUCACAAAGGAAGACACCAGUUAUCGAACACGUCGAGCCAAUCGUUUACCUCGAAAUUAUUUCGUUUGUUUAUCCUCUUUUUCGAUAACGAGCGAUAUAAAACGAAAUUAAAACGCCAUCUAGUUAAUACGAGAGUAUACAUAAAUGAAUCAAUUUGAUCGUGGCUGCUGAUAUAACAUUUGUGUGACGCCAAACCAUUGUGAUUGACAUCGAAUCAACGUUAUAUAAAGAUACUUGAAUCGUCUUGCAGAACGAGCCAAAGGUGUGAACGUGAUAAAAAUCCCGAAUCACGUUUGAUUCCAGAUAAAUAAACGAUACAAGGAAGAAAAACAUUAAAAAACAGUAGUAGGAAAAGAAAGUAAGUUUAUUUGAAAGGUCUAUUACAGGAAGCAUAAGUAAAAAGCAUAAAAUUUUAAAAAUCUUUAUUACUAUGUUAGUUUAUAGAAAGAUAAUUAAAGAAAGAGAAGAUAUCGAUUAAGAAAAGAUACUUAAUCGAUUAUUUUUCAUUUUCUUUGUACACUUAUUCUUUAAAUCGCAAUCAGAUAUUAUCCGAUUAGUGGUAUUAUCAUGUUUUUAAUGUAUACGUUAGAUCAUUUAUGUACACCUUACAUAAAUAAUACAUACACUUCUUGUGACGAAUGCAUAUGAAUGUAAGUGAAUACUUUGCACUACAAGUCUAGGCGAAGAGAAUAGUUACAGAAAUAGCUUAUGACUCAAUAUUAGACAGCAUAUUUAAUACGAACCAUACGGAAUUAUAUUCAUUUCUUGUGGUCAAAAAUCGAUGAUUUAUUUGAUAAAUAUUUACACGAUUUCUAUAAAACAUUAAUGAUCGAAAAAUCUUAAAAUUCUAAAAUCAGGUCCAUGUUGAAGAGAUUCAAGAUCUUUUCAGACUAAAGAUUUUUGAGUUAAAAAUUCAGAUCUAAAUUAUAAAAAAAUUUCCAAGUCACAAUUUAUAAAAAUUUUUAACUCGAAAUCCUCGAUAUUAAAUUUGUUGAUAUUUAAUAAAUGAUGAUUUUAGAUUGAUUUUUGUUAAUUCUUUCGAAUUUGUAAUAGUUUCGAAAUUCUACAAUUUCAAAUUAAUUUUAUGUAAUAUUCUUUCAUUUUCAUUAUUCGAAUAUCUUAGGAAAUAUGAGCAUUGUGAUUUUCGAUCAAAAUUGCCAGAAUAUAUAACUUGCUCCUGUUUUAGCACUUAAACAAGGAAGUUUAUGUUUAAAAACGUAGGUUUCAUUCUAAAUAUACUUACUUCAGAGUUACCAAAUAAUGGGACAAAAUGGCUAUCAGUGACAUUACAAAGUAGCAGUAUAAAGAACACGAUUUCCAAUCCUAUCUAGAGAGACUAUAUUAAACUGCAUCAUUGCUUCAUUUACUCAUUCUCUUUCUUUAGAAAAUUUUAGAAAAAAUUUUCUAUUUUCUACUUCAAAUUACUCUGGAAUAGGAGGAACAAAUCAAGUGAGAAAAUAAAGAUUCAGUUGGCAAUCUUGUUCAGCAUUGCCACAAAAAUUCCUUCUUAAGAAAAUAACGUCACAUUAUUCUUAUUUUUUCUCUAUUUAUAUCUAUGAAUCAUAUUCUCUGAAUAUAUUAAUCUUUUUUCUGAAUUUCAAAAUAAUAAUCUUGGUCUCAAUCCACGCUAAAAGCGAUACACAAAUUCAAUUAAUAAUCAAACAAGAUAAAAUGUUUGCAGUGAAUAACAGCAAUGAGAAAACAAUUUCUUCUUAUUUUCAUCGAUUUGAAAAAAAAUGAGUAAAAAUCGAAUAAUAUUGCUAUAUCAUAUCUCUACAUAAUAAAUCUAUAUUAUAUCUCUACAAAUCUUGUUACUGAUAUUUAACAGUCAUUUUGCCUGGUAUUUGGCAAUUGUGAUUCUCUUAGUUUGUUGUCUUAUUCCCAAAAUAUAAUUUAACAUCAGAUUCUGCCUAAAAUUCUCUCUAGCAAUCCUGCUGCCAACUCCCUGGCUAGAGAAAAAUGACACACAGAGUUAUAUAUAAUAUUCGAACGAAGUAGAAAAGGUUUCUUUCUAAUCAGCAGUAAUAAAAAUUAUUUAUAAGUUUUUUUUUUAUAUUUAUUAUUUUUAUCGUUUCAUUUAUUAAUUAUAAAAUAUACAUUAAUUCAUUAUUUAUAUGUAAAUGAAAUAGGGAGAUGAUAGGGAAAUAAAAUGAAAUUAAGUACAAAGAUAUUAUCGCUGUAAAUAUAAAUUUAUUGAAGUCUUACAGUGCUUAGAUUGAACAAAAACAUACGGCAAACUGAACAAUUUAAGUACACCUAUAUCUUGUCAAUAAAUUCGCCGUAUAAAUAUUAUUUUACAUCUAUGUAAAUUGUGUAUGAUUUUAUUUAUGAUAUAUUGUAUAUAUCUAUGUAUAAUUUAUAUACAAAUCCGAUAUAAUACCGUAUAUGUAAAUAUACAUAUACAAUUGAUCGUAGAAAAUACAAAUUAUUCUUCACGAAAUUUUUUUUUCUUUUAAAGACAUUUCAUAUCUCAUACAAAGCAAAUUCUUCUUGAUAUUCGAAUUUUGUACUUCUUUUUUUUUUGCAUUUAUGUUUACACUUACGUAUCAUUGAAAUUUGUAACAACAAUGAACAUUGUGUAUUUUUUCUAUACAUGUAUGAAAGCCUUUCCCCUUUCAAAAUUAUGACAACUGUGAGCAUGAAUUAUUAUUAUUAUUAUUAUUAUUAUUAUUAUUUGUUUUAUUUGUAAUCAAUUUAAAAGAUAAGAAUUGCUCAAUAGUAUCUUU
Apis cerana (Asiatic honeybee) is the source of this 9549-nucleotide long non-coding RNA. RefSeq lists it as uncharacterized. The record is from RefSeq and is a predicted model, not a curated record. Lineage: Eukaryota; Metazoa; Arthropoda; Insecta; Hymenoptera; Apidae.